Molecule: ribosomal RNA, 496 nt
Filed under: uncultured bacterium
Lineage: Bacteria
Description: partial 16S ribosomal RNA
Rfam family: Bacterial small subunit ribosomal RNA
Source: RNAcentral
AUGAACGCUGGCGGCGUGCCUAAUCCAUGCAAGUCGAGCGAACAGACGAGGAGCUUGCUCCUCUGACGUUAGCGGCGGACGGGUGAGUAACACGUGGAUAACCUACCUAUAAGACUGGGAUAACUUCGGGAAACCGGAACUAAUACCGGAUAAUAUAUUGAACCGCAUGGUUCAAUAGUGAAAGACGGUUUUGCUGUCACUUAUAGAUGGAUCCGCGCCGCAUUAGCUAGUUGGUAAGGUAACGGCUUACCAAGGCAACGAUGCGUAGCCGACCUGAGAGGGUGAUCGGCCACACUGGAACUGAGACACGGUCCAGACUCCUACGGGAGGCAGCAGUAGGGAAUCUUCCGCAAUGGGCGAAAGCCUGACGGAGCAACGCCGCGUGAGUGAUGAAGGUCUUCGGAUCGUAAAACUCUGUUAUUAGGGAAGAACAAAUGUGUAAGUAACUAUGCACGUCUUGACGGUACCUAAUCAGAAAGCCACGGCUAACUACGUG